Non-coding RNA from Petromyzon marinus (sea lamprey), 5686 nucleotides. The record is from RefSeq and is a predicted model, not a curated record. Lineage: Eukaryota; Metazoa; Chordata; Hyperoartia; Petromyzontiformes; Petromyzontidae.
CUUAGCUGAAAUUUUAUAAUUUUAUUUUCUCUCUACGUGACUUUACCGAAAGAACCAAAGAGCAAUUCCUGCAGUGUCACGAAAGCUUCAAAUCAAGUUUGAAUAUUAGAUUAUUUUUUUUUAGUUUUGCGUAUUUUACUGCGUUAAAUCGGCAGCCUUGUGGUGACGGGUCCCUUGCGGAGUUUCAGUCGUUGUGCCUUGUCCAACACUGGCCUGUAUUGUCCGACGGCGACUCUGCGUUUAGCGGCGGUGACCACUAUCGCGCGGAUAGGUCGGAGCGAUCUGUCGUUUACCGUUGCCAUAUCGGUGUGAAGUGAGCCCUGCGGUGUGACUCUGCUGUCCGUUUUAAUCCCUCCAGGCUCAGGUGCAGAAACCCCAUAAUUAUCGCUUAAUGAACGCCGCCCAAUAAACUCCACAAACACACGCCGAGGGGCAGCGCUCCGAGGCAGCGAAUCCGAACUAGUCACGGCGACGGAGAGAUGAGGCAACAGAAUCCGAGUUGUAUAUUUGAAAUCGCCUCUUGUGUUGUCACGACGACUCAUGAUGUACACGUGUAUUUAGUUUAUGACAUGCAGGCAGCAGCAGCCAGAUUUUCUUGCAUUUUUUUUGCUGUUUUGAGUUUGCUGUGGUAGUUUUGUCAUUUUUAUGUUAAUUUUUGUACUUUUAUAUAUGUCGUUGGUUUUUAUAUGGACGUUACCUAGGGUUUUGUUCAGUUGGCCACAAUUGGCGGUGUUUUUUUUUCCCGUUGACUUCCUCUGUGCUUCCACCCCUGGGUUUUUCUCAAAGAGUUUCCUCAGUCUGGUGGUAAUGUCUCGUGAAACAACUAAAAGCGAUGGUUUCUCCUUUAUUAUCCAAUUGAGAGUGUGAGCUGAGGGCAUUUUAGAGCUUGUUUUAAACCACAGCUUUCCCAGAAUAAAAUCUCUUACAAAGAGAUUCGUACCUCGGUGCAUUUCCACCGGGUUACGUGCGUCUGUGUCAAAAACAACACAUUUUAUGUUUUGCAUCAGAACAGUUUUCCCCUUAGCUGAUGUUAAGCAAACACAUUUAAAUAGCUUCACAGGAAAAUGACUAAAUAUGAAAGAUAUGUUUUUUUAAAAAAAAUAUGUUAUUUAGUGCAUUCUGGAAGGUGUACCACACGUCAUGUUUAGCUUGCAGCAUGAUCAUAAGCAGUGACCGCUUGUAAGCGAGCGAGAUCACCUUGGAUAGGCCCUCACCCUGAGGAGAGCUCUCUUCAUAGUUAGCCCAUGGGCCAGAGCAGACACUGGCACUCCCUCGGGUAGCGUGCAUUGUUUAUGUAUGGCUAACGAGAGUCGCUACCCUUCACCUGCUCAAUCCAAGCGCUAAUCGCAAUCAUUCACCGCUAUUGGCCGCACGCAGGAAUUGGAGAACCGCUGACGUGAUGCCACCUCGGGAGGUUACCGACGAGUGAAGCGUCUGCUCUGGCCUCAUGGACUCCGGUGGUGGUGCCGGUGGUGUUUGCGAAUGCACAUUGUGGAUCGUCUGGAUUGGCAACGUACCCCAGUGAACUAGAGCACAAGGAGAAUUCAGUGGGGCCUCCUCUCCAUGGGUGGGGAAGAGGCUUGGUGGCACAGCGAGACGGACUCAGCCGCUAACAGGGCACUGCGUGUCAUUGCCACUCAUGUUCCUCACUGUUACAUCAAUGUUACAUUCUGUUUGUAAAUCCCUAACAAAAAUGUCGUUGCGUAAAAGCUGCUAUUGGAAGAGCAUAGUCCCGCCGUCCUUUUUGUAAUCGUAUAGCCGCUCAUCAAGUUGUAAAAAGCUCAAUUAAAUACGAGUCGGUCUCGUGCCUUCCCUCCGCUUUGCGCGGAAUAAAAUGCAUCGCCCAAAACAUUGCCUCACAUUUCAGAUUGUGGAGCAUUUGAUAACUGUGUAACCAACGUUGGUGAGGUUUUAUCAGCGGCUUAUUCUACACCGCUGCCAGCAAGAGUCCCCUGAAAAUGUGUAUUUUAUUUUCGGUAAAUGUUUGUAUCGCACGCAGAAAUGUAAACGAAUCGUCCUCCUUUGCUGUCAUCUACUGGCACCAUCUGUAGCUUAGUGCCGUCAGUCUACAGGCACCAUCACUCUGUAGCUUAGUGCCGUCAGUCUACUGGCACCAUCACUCUGUAGCUUAGUGCCGUCAGUCUACUGUCAGUCUACUGGCACCAUCUGUAGCUUAGUGCCGUCAGUCUACUGGCACCAUCACUCUGUAGCUUAGUGCCGUCAGUCUACUGGCACCAUCACUCUGUAGCUUAGUGGCGUCAGUCUACUGGCACCAUCUGUAGCUUAGUGCCGUCAGUAUACUGGCACCAUCACUCUGUAGCUUAGUGCCGUCAGUCUACUGGCACCAUCACUCUGUAGCUUAGUGCCGUCAGUUUACUGGCACCAUCACUCUGUAGCUUAGUGCCGUCAGUCUACUGGCACCAUCACUUUGUAGCUUAGUGACGUCAGUCUACUGGCACCAUCACUCUGUAGCUUAGUGACGUCAGUCUACUGGCACCAUCACUCUGUAGCUUAGUGCCGUCAGUCUACUGGCACCAUCACUCUGUAGCUUAGUGCUGUCAGUCUACUGGCACCAUCACUCUGUAGCUUAGUGCCGUCAGUCUACUGGCACCAUCACUCCGUAGCUUAGUGACGUCAGUCUACUGGCACCAUCACUCUGUAGCUUAGUGCCGUCAGUCUACUGGCACCAUCACUCCUUAGCUAGUGCCGUCAGUCUACUGGCACCAUCACUCCUUAGCUUAGUGCCGUCAGUCUACUGGCACCAUCACUCUGUAGCUUAGUGCCGUCAGUCUACUGGCACCAUCACUCUGUAGCUUAGUGCCGUCAGUCUACUGGCACCAUCACUCCUUAGCUUAGUGCCGUCAGUCUACUGGCACCAUCACUCCUUAGCUUAGUGCCGUCAGUCUACUGGCACCAUCACUCUGUAGCUUAGUGCCGUCAGUCUACUGGCACCAUCACUCUGUAGCUUAGUGCCAAGUCACAGGAGGCGACGUCACUCGGGGGGGGGGGGGGGGAGGUUCAGAACACGGGAACACUUGCAGAUCGCACGCUUCUCUCUCCGCACAAGGCAGCCAUUUAGCAUCCAAUAAAACCAAAGUUCUACUGCUCAUCCCCGAAAGGACUCGCCGAAUCUCAAGAUUCGUUGAAAGAAGAGAAGGAGGUUCCGCUGCUUUAAUGAACAAAAGUGUUUACAUCGUCGCCUCUUUCCACCCGGAUCUUACGCACGACUGGCUCAAUGGCACAAAAUAAGUAGUUGUUUUUUUUAAAGCCAUUCCACACAAGUUGUAACAAGAAACGCUCGUGGCAAAUGAUUACAGUGCCCAAAAUGGGAUUUGAACUUUAGCCAAAUUAGUACAUAGCACUUUUCUGAAUCAGUCUUGCUUGUGUGUGCUGUAGGUUGCCUGUUUCUGGCACCGAUACUUUGUGUAUACAGUAUUGUUAACAAUGAUUUAUUUUUGUUUACGGGGUACGCGCAGCAGUGGUUCGGGAUGUUGUAAAAAAAAUGCUUAUAGUGUAUUCGUGGUUCAACCUGGAGGUUUUUCUUUUUCGGGUUACAAUAAUUUCUGUGUAACUUAGCGCAAUGCGGCAUGUUUUGUUCGAAAGCUGCGCGGCUGCUGACCAGGAAAAUUUAAGUGGUCACCACACACAUUUGCUUAUAUAGAUACACCGCGUUUGAUAUCAUCUGCGUAGUUGUAAUCAGCGGCAUGGUAAUGCAAUUGUCCUUGGUGCCAAUCAAACAGACUCUAUAACGCGACUAAUUUUACUUUUUUUGUUCUUGUAAAUAAUUAAUAUUUGGGGGGAUGUGGGAGGCGGGGAGGGGGAGGUGCAUUCGGUCUAAAAACGGUUAGAAAUGUGCAAGAAAAAAUUCCAGUGUAACCAAGAGGGUGGUCUCAUUAGUGCACAAACAUGAGCGGCGUAAUUGUCGCUAUAUACGUUUCCGUUUGGACGCCUCUGGAGAUGGCCGUGGCGUGUUUGUGCAGCGGUGAACCUCGAGGUUUAUCAGGGAAGACAUUGUCGCUGCUUUACCGCGGUGUAGCAGAAGCGCACACAUCGAGCGGACGCUGCAUUCGACGCCUCCUGGGGCACCUAAAUUUACAACAACAGCAAAACAUGCCCCUUUUAGUUCACGGUGUAAUGUUUGAAGCCCCUUUAAAAAAAGCCUGCUUUUAUCAAAGGAAUUGAAAUGUACGCACAUCACCUCAAAAUAAAAGCUUGAAUUUUAGUCUAAACUAGUUUAUAUUAAAAAAAAGAAAUGAAAGCUAUUUUUCUGUGUAAACCCAAAUAUGUAUGUAUGUGUGUUACGUGCAAACAGCAGAUUUGUGACGGGAGGCCAAAAUGGUCAAGUAAUCAGCCUCUGUGCCUGUUUAAAUUUGUCAUCAGCUUCAGGCAGCUUUAGCCUCAUAGGAAACUAGAUCGUAAAUAUGUGGUGGCGUGUGUGUACACGUGUUUCAAAGGCAGACUUGUGCUGUAUUUCAAGCUUACGUUAACAAAGCUGUUCAAAUUCCUGAAGAAAGAUUUUAAUAAAAGUGACAAUUUGACAAUGCUAAAAUAUCGUUAAUGAGAAUCAUCACUGUUUUGUGUAAGUGGUGCAGAUACUAUUGGUACAAAUUAUAUUUUGUUUUUCAUUGCCCCGUGUUUUAUGCAAAAAGGGCUUAAAUGGGGUCACCCAUAAUUCUGUUAUUUUUUUUUUACCCCACACAAUCCUAAAAAAUUCCCUCUAUAAAAACACACGAAGUAGAAAUACUUAAUAUUCUUUGGGUCUUUCGCUAAAGUCACGUAGAUAGCAAAAAUAAUAACACUUUAUUUCUAUUCUUUUAUUGUUAUUAUUUUUUUAUAUCCACGUGACUUUACCGAAAGACCCAAAGAAUAUGAAUUCCUGCAGUCACAAAAGCUUUAAGUCUAGAAAUACUUUGUACAUGUACGUAUUUACUUUGGUCUAAUUUGUCAUCUGUCAUUUUUUUUAAAGAUUACACGACAUAGCCUGCAACACCCCCCCCUCCUCCUCCUCCCCUUGUAAGGUUUCGAAAAUAACAAUGGCGUGACCCGAAAACUCCCCAGUGUCAAUCAUUCAUUGUGAGGUGUCGUCCGUGCGCUCGUUCUCGCCGUCUUACAACAACAUUCGCGGCGUUGCCAGAUGUACGUGCGGCUGAUUGCUUACUCGCCUCCGUUGGUGCUUCAUGCGAUGUCCUAAGUGGAAUUGUGUGCGCCCGUGAACAGGAAACCCAUUACAACUAUAAGUUGUUUUCAUGUUUGCAUAGAAAUUGCCACGCGAUCCCUAAUGCUCUCACGUUACUGUAAUUGGCCGUUUGCUAUUGCGAGCGGCCUGACUUUGAGCGGUUCAGAGAGGAAUGUUCGAGGCCCGUGGCUUUUGAGACGGAGGUAGUUGAUGAAGGGGGACGAAGUGGAGAGGAGGGGGAAGCAUUGUGGACGUAUCACACAUUUGCAUGCACCCAGGCACAUUGCCCCAUCGUGAACUCCCAUCUCCCGUUCAUUAUGCCUUACUUUUUUGCACUUUGUAUAUUUGUAAUACAUCAUUUUCAUAUUGUGAACCAUGUUAGUCGUUGUUGUUGUAGUAGUGUACAUAGUCUUCACAAUGAAAAAUAGCUGCCAAUGUCAUUGUUAUUAUUUGACUAUAUUCCAAGUAGACAAACAUUUUUUGUUAAUAAAAAAAAAUUGCUUUGCUCGA